UGGGCUUGGGGACGACUUGCCGGAGCCGGAGUUGACCAGUUCAAGGUCGGCAGUGGUGGAUGACUUCGAGGAAGAAGAAGCCGAGGCAACGGCUUAGGGAGGUCCCCGCUCGUGUGCGUCGUCGUGGCGGUCGAGGAAGUCGAGGCGCAGGCCCUGGGCAUCUCCGAGCGAGACGAGGUGGCUCCAGAGCAUGCGUAUAGAGGGUCAUGGCGAUGGCGGUUGGCGUCGAGGCGCCUGGUUCGGCCCGAUCCAGAUCGGAUCGGGAGGGGAGAGGAGUGGGGAGUGGGGAACGAGGGGGAGUGGGAGAAAUAUCUUGGAGGAGGCCUCGGUGGAGGGCAGAAAUCACAGAUUUGACCUGAGGCAGAAAUCAAAUCACAAACUGAUUUGUUCACGAAAAAAUUUCACUCUCCUGACCCUUUGGUGUGGCGCCCGACAGCUGGGCGCCGCACCCUACUGUGCAGCGCCUCUCCUUUAGGCGUCGCACAUCCUGCCAGCGUGACAGCCCUAGUCCAGUUGCGGCCCCACACGCACCUGUGCAGCGCCUAAGAGCUAGGCGCCACACUUUGACGUGCAGCGCCUAGCCCUUGGGCGCUGCACAGUGACUUAAGCGCGGCCGCCCCAGCCCGACCAGGCAGUUCUUCGUCUCUCCGCUCUCUGGACAGAGAGCAGCGGCGGCGGCGGCGCCCCCAUCUAAUCCCCCCACAUCCCUCUCAGAUCUGAAGAUUUGAUCCGUGGAUUCGAUCCCCAAUCCAUCCUACUAGGUAAACUCUUCCCUUCUCUUUCUUUUGCUCCGUAAAUUUGUUGCCAUUCUAGAGAAUGCAACGGAAGAUAAAGGACUGGCCAAGCAUCAUUCUGCGUAUGUUACCCGCUUCCAGCUUUGUGUGGAGCAAGCUCGUAGCACUGCACGCGCCCCGCUUCGUGAGCACAACUCACUUGCUUUUGAUAACUACGUACGAUGGUUUAUUGGAACUACUCGAGUUGAGAUAUGUCCGCCGGCAUAUAAUGAGGAUAUUCUUGAAGAACCCGUAAACUUUGAGGAUCUAGCAAAGGGGAAGUACAACAGAGAUGUCAGGCUAGGGCAAGGAAUCCCUGCUGUUCCGGUGAUUAACUAUGUGGUAAAGUGUUCCCCUCUUUACUUUCCUAUUGACCGUAUUGCACAUGUUUGAAUGGCUAACGCAUUCAUUUUUUCUCAUCCGCAGCGCACCGAGAUCAAGAAAGCAGCUGAUGAGAGCCAGUCUAUUCUGGAGAAGACACCGGUUGGAACUGGCAAUGAUGAUGGUUCACUACGAGCAUUCCUCAUGGUACAUAUCGCAUUCACUAUGAGAGCCAGUCUAUGUUGCGAAGUUUGAUAUCUUACACACUUGUUCAUGUUACAGCGUCAGGCCAAGAAGUUAAGGCGGUUACCGAACCUUCUCGGUUGCCGUGAUCCUGAAUAUGAUGAACCAUCUGCCUCUAGGUCUGGUACACCAUCAGACCCCGCACCUCACCAUGAGGGGGACGAUGUGAGUUCCUCAUAUGCUUAUGUGGAUGAUGAGGGUGGGAUCACCCAAGAGGUAUGACUAAUCCUUUAGAUGUGAUUCUCACUUGAUUACGACAUCGGCCUUCACCAUAUUGUUUCGUUGUGUGAUAGGGCGAUGAGCUUGAUGAUGACAUGACUUUGGCGGACGCUCAAGCUCGGUCCGCAUAUGUGUUCAAGCCUAGGCAGCCCAGACGCCGGUACACGCCCAACGACUAUGACAAUAGAGGCAACCCAAAGGUGGUCGUAGGGACCUCACGGAUGGCUAGCUUGGAUGAUGAGGCGGAGGAGGAGGCGGAGGCGGAGGCGGAGGAGGAAGUGCACGAAGAGGAUCCUCGUGCUCCUAAGAAGAAGAAGCUUGCCUGCAGGCGUGCCACCAGGAACACGCGCGGAAGGCAUUAGUGCUUGUUCAUGUUAAUUGUAGCCGUUUAAUUAGGUUGACGAACUUGUGAGGUUAUGUUAUAUGUUGGUGAACUCUUACUAGUGUGGUAUUUGUGUUUGCGAACCUGAAGUAAUGUUGAAUUGUCUUAAAUGAUAUGAUGUUCAAGUUAUUAGUUCUCUUUGCUUAGCAUGUGCAGUUUACCCACAUUGUUGUCAUGGAGGUCAACUUCGUUGUCAUCCUCCUCGUACUCAUCAUUCUCCUCUUCAAAACCUUCAUUUUGGUUGUUUGGAGUCAGGCUCAAUGUUGGCCAAUCUUCUUGUGUGAAUUGAGGUUCACUCAUUUGAUCUUGGUUCAUGGGUGGGGGAGUGCUAGCAACCAACGGGGAGGGGUUCCGGUUCAAGUCUAAAUUCAAAGUAGACUCAACCUUCUUGGAGGCAAAUAACUCAAGAGCCUUGUCUAGAGAUUCGGCAACCGUCUCCUUGUAUGCAACCCAAUGUUGCUCGGAGUUCACACGCAUUGUCUUCCAACGGAUGUGCAUUCCUAAACCAACAUUAUGCCUUCCCUCGAACUCAACAACGUCACUUGGGUCCAUCCAAUUCAAAUCUUUCCUCACUUGUUUCAAAAGCUCCACAUAGCUAGAACUACUCUCAAACACCAUGUCAAGCUCAUCCGGGUCCGUCUCAACAUUGCCUUUCAAAAAGGCCUCUUUAUCCACAUGAUGAACAUAAACACAUGUUCUCCCCAUCCCUACAAUAAUCAAAAACACAUAUAUAUCAAGUAAAUACUUAAGAAAAAUAUUUGCACACAUAUGCCCUAACAUAUAUAUGAAUUAAUAACCCUAACCCCCACAUAACAAUAACCACAACCCUAACACCAACAUAACCCUAACACCAACAUCAAACACACAUAACCCUAACCCUAGCAUACUAUGGAAGCCUAAACAACCCAAAUUAGCAAAGAAAUAUAACAUCAUUCAACACAAAUUUCCAAAUCCUAUCAAAAUCUAGGGUUUCCCCAAACUAGCAAGAUUUGAGCAAAUGUGACAAUUCCUAUGGAUGAAAACGAGGGGAUCAGAGGAGAUUACCUUAAGGGAGGGGUUGGCUUCGAAAUCCACGGUCAAAUACUCCGGAUUUGCAAGAUUUGAGAAGGAUUUGAGAGGGGGGAGAGGGGAAGAGAGGAGGGCCGCAAGUCUANNNNNNNNNNNNNNNNNNNNNNNNNNNNNNNNNNNNNNNNNNNNNNNNNNNNNNNNNNNNNNNNNNNNNNNNNNNNNNNNNNNNNNNNNNNNNNNNNNNNNNNNNNNNNNNNNNNNNNNNNNNNNNNNNNNNNNNNNNNNNNNNNNNNNNNNNNNNNNNNNNNNNNNNNNNNNNNNNNNNNNNNNNNNNNNNNNNNNNNNNNNNNNNNNNNNNNNNNNNNNNCUAUCAAAAUCUAGGGUUUCCCCAAACUAGCAAGAUUUGAGCAAAUGUGACAAUUCCUAUGGAUGAAAACGAGGGGAUCGGAGGAGAUUACCUUAAGGGAGGGGUUGGCUUCGAAAUCCACGGUCAAAUACUCCGGAUUUGCAAGAUUUGAGAAGGAUUUGAGAGGGGGGAGAGGGGAAGAGAGGAGGGCCGCAAGUCUAAGGGUUUGGGUCGGGUGGGGGUGUGUGGGGUGGGGGUGGGAGGGGAGAGAGGGUGGGGCCAGCCCAAGUGGAACACAGACUGUGCAGCGCCCAAGAGCUAGGCGCUCCACAUUACAGGUGUGUGGCGCCUAGCUCUUAGGCGCUGCACAGGUGCGUGUGGGGCCGCAACUGAACCAGGGCUGCCACGCUGGCAGGAUGUGCGACGCCUAAGGUAAGGGCGCUGCACAGUAGGGUGCGGCGCCCGGCUGUCGGGCGCCACACCAAAGGGUCAGCAGAGUGAAAUUUUUUCGUGAACAGGUCAGUUUGUGAUUUGAUUUCUGCCUCAGGUCAAAUCUGUGAUUUCUGCCUCGGUGGAGGCCUUAUCGUCUCCUGGUGUCGCCGUCGAUGCGGUCUGGUGGGGCGAGCCCCUCGGUCGGUCGAACAGGAGAAAGCAACCGCGAGGGGAGGGGGAAAGCGGGCUGGCCAGUUGGGGUGGGAUGGGCCGAGGUCUAAGGACAGGCCAGGGGCUCUCCCACCCCUCUUUCUUUCCUUUUUUUGUUUUUUCUUUUAGCAGCAGGCUUUUGCCAUUAAACUAGUCACCAAAUGACUUUGCAAAAUUGUGUGCCUGGCCAAAACAAUUUCAAAGAAUUAUUGGGCACUGCCACAAAAAGAUUGUGAGGCUUUUGAAAUAGUUUGCAACCUUCAUAAUUUAAAAGAAGGCAAUUAAAUUAUAGUUUUAGCCACUGUUUUAAAGUGGUUUAGGGUACUUAGGCAUUUGCAAAAAUGUUGGUUCACUACCAAUAUUAGGUAUGGAUUAUUUGGCACAUGAAGAACAUUUUAGUUUUCAUGUUUGAGAAAUUUGAAUUUUGGUCUUUAAUUUGAAUUUGAGUUUGAACUAAGAUUUGGAUCAAGCGAGGAUUAGCAACAGUCAUGCGAUGACAUGGCACAAUUAGAAGGGGAUUACUGCAGCUUAAUUAUCUAGGCGUCACAGUUCUCCUCCACUACAAGAAAUCUCGUCUCGAGAUUUAAGGGGUGAGUAAGGGGGAAAGAUGAUAACCCACAAGUGUAGGGGAUCGCAACAGCUUUCGAGGGUAGAGUAUUCAUCCCAAAUUUAUUGAUUCGACACAUGGGGAGCCAAAGAAUAUUUUUGAGUAUUAGUAGUUGAGUUGUUAAUUCAACCACACCUGGAUAACUUAGUAUCUACAGCAAAGUAUUUAGUAGCAAAGUAGUAUGAUAAUAAAGGUAACAAUAGCAAAAGUAAUGUUUUUGGGUUUUGUAGUGAUUGUAACAAUAGCAACGGAAAAGUAAAUAAGCGAAGCACAAGAUGUGAAAAGCUCGUAGGCACUGGAUCAGAUAUGGAUAAUUAUGUCGGAUGCAAUUCCUCAUGUAAUAGAUAUAACAUAGGGUGACACAGAACUAGCUCCAAUUCAUCUAGGCAUGUAUUCCGAAUAUAGUCAUACGUGCUUAUGGAAAAGAACUUGCAUGACAUCUUUUGUCCUAGCCUCCCGUGGCAGCGGGGUCCUUACGGAAACUAAGGGAUAUUAAGGCCUCCUUUUAAUAGAGAACCGGAACAAAGCAUUAGCAUAUAGUGAAUACAUGAACUCCUCAAACUACGGUCAUCACCGAGAAGUGUCCUGAUUAUUGUCACUUCGGGGUUGUCGGAUCAUAACACAUAAUAGGUGACUAUAGACUUGCAAGAUAGGAUCAAGAACACACAUAUAUUCAUGAAAACAUAAUAGGUUCAGAUCUGAAAUCAUGGCACUCGGGCCCUAGUGACAAGCAUUAAGCAUAGCAAAGUCAUAGCAACAUCAAUCUCAAAACAUAGUGGAUACUAGGGAUCAAACCCUAACAAAACUAACUUGAUUACAUGGUAAAUCUCAUCCAACCCAUCACCGUCCAGCAAGCCAACGAUGGAAUUACUCACGCACGGAGGUGAGCAUCAUGAAAUUGAUGAUGGAGGAUGGUUGAUGAUGACGAUGGCGAUGAAUCCCCCUCGCCGGAGCCCCGAACGGACUCCAGAUCAGCCCUCCCGAGAGAGAUUAGGGCUUGGCGGCAGCUCCGUAUCGUAAAACGCGAUGAAACUUUCUCUCUGAUUUUUUUCUCCGCGAUACGGAAUAUAUGGAGUUGGAGUUGAGGUCGGCAGAGCCUUAGGGGGCCCACGAGAUAGGGGGACGCGCCCAGGGGGGUGGGCGUGCCCCCACCCUCGUGGACAGGGUGUGGGCCCCCUGGUCUUGAUUCUUUCUCCAGUAUUUUUUAUAUUUUCCCAAAAGUGCCUCCGUGGAUUUUCAGGACAUUCCGAGAACUUUUGUUUUCUACACAUAAAACAACAUCAUGGCAGUUCUACUGAAAACAGCGUCAGUCAGGGUUAGUUUCAUUCAAAUCAUGCAAAUUAGAGUCCAAAACAAGGGCAAAAGUGUUUGGAAAAGUAGAUACGUUGGAGACGUAUCAACUCCCCCAAGCUUAAUCCUUUGCUUGUCCUCAAGCAAUUCAGUUGAUAAACUGAAAGUGAUAAAGAAAAACUUUUACAAACUCUGUUUGCUCUUGUUGUUGUAAACAUGCAAAGCCAGUAUUCAGGUUUCAACAAAUAUUAUGAACUAACCAUACUCACAAUAACACCUAGCUCUCACAAUUACUCAUAUCAAUAGCAUAAUCAGCUAGCGAGCCAUAAUAAUAAAACUCGGAUGACAACACUUUCUCAAAACAAUCAUAACAUGAUAUUACAAAAUGGUAUCUCGCUAGCCCUUUCUGAGACUGCAAAACAUAAAUGCAGAGCACCUUUAAAGAUCAAGGACUGACUAAACAUUGUAAUUCAUGGUAAAAGAGAUCCAGUCAAGUCAUACCCAAUAUAAAUCAACAAUAAUGAAUGCAAAUGACAGUGUGCUCUCCAGCGGGUGCUUUUUAAAAAGAAGGCGAUGACUCAACGCAAGCCCGAGAUGUAUUAUAAGGGCGUCCUGAAGGGUGCCCGCAUUAUAGCGGGUGAAUGCUCCAAAGAUGUAAUUUUUGAGUAGACUCGCAUUUGUUAUCUUGUAUGCUGAAAACUUUGUUCAUAUGCGCUAAGCAACGCUUGUUAAAUUAAGAUAUUACCUUCUGUGCGGCCGUUUAUCAAAUUUGAGAGAUAGCAAGUCGUUGGCUUCAGCCCCCAUGCCACGAGUGCUGGGGUGUUCGGGAAAAACUUGAGCGCUCUUGUUCCCAUUCUUGGGUCCUUUCGAGGGAGGCGUUCAACACAAUGAACGAGGCAACCGGACUAUAAUGCUUGAACACUCUCACUUAGCCAUAGAAUUCUAUAAUUUUAAACUUCGGCGAAGCCCCUAGUAUUCGGAAGACCGAGUUCGGGGCGCUAUCCACGGCUUGGCCGGACAAUGCCGACUCCUCGCCCUAAGCGGCAUGAGUCUUUAGGGACCCGAAAAACCUCUCGAAUAGCGACCGGCUCUCACCCUAUCAUGAAGGUCAAUUUUAGCUUUCUCCACUGAGGUGCUCAACCCAGCUCAACCGGGGCACAAUCGCAGUGGUUCUCCCAGCGCUACCUUAGCCGAUAUAGCGGAACGUAAGGUACCAAAACAUGGGAGCCGGGCAAACCCAACUAUUGACCCAAGACAUGAUUUGGAGCCGAUUCAUAUAAUGCUAUAAGUUCGGGGUGCCGCACUUGUGAAAGUGUUCGGACUUAUCACACCAUGUUUUGGGGUACUUAAGCCCCUGGUGUAUUUGACCGUACCAAGUUGUACGAGUGCACCAUGUCAUAGAUGAACAUUUAUAAAGAAGAAGGAAAAGCAAUAAUAAGCAGAAGCUAUGUAUUGUUUAUUCAAAAGAUACUGCAAUGAAAGCAGAAUGAUACAAAUAGUGCGAUAAGCAAGGGAUAGGACUAUUUAACAUGUCCCCCUCCAGGGGUAAGCUACGGGAUGGUAUGUAAAACAGGUAUACUGCUCAUAAUAGAGACCACCUGGACACUCGACGUAGUUUUUCUGCUUCCCUGGCUGUUGUAUCGUGAGUUCGGCGUUUCUACUGCCGGACAGGGCUUCUGGAAAACGGAGUCCUGAGAAUAAAAAAAAAGAAAAAAAAAGAAUGACACAAUGGGGAGCCCCUGGUGCGGUUGAGCCGCAUUCUGGGCAUGCCUUGGUCGUGCCCCUUCCCAGAGCGUAGUUAUGUACGCGUGAUACUGGUCUCGUGAUUUCGCGAGGGCUGGGGUUGGGGCCGCAUUGCUAUGCGUGCUCGGAAUGUGCCAGGCGGUCAUGUUGUAGGUUACUCCGGGCGCGCUUGACGGUGUCCGGACGUUUAGUGAUCGGACUCAAGAAUUGCCUUAAUAGGCUGCUUUGUACUUCCGCCGCGAGGGCCGCCGUGUGCUCCUCCUUCCGGAGAGAGCGUUCGGUGUUUCCAUUAACCGUGAUUACUCCUCGAGGGCCUGGCAUCUUGAGCUUGAGGUAUGCGUAGUGCGGCACCACAUUGAACUUUGCAAAUGCGGUUCGUCCGAGCAGUGCGUGAUAGCCACUGCAGAACGGGACUAUGUCGAAGAUUAACUCCUCGCUUCGGAAGUUAUCCGGGGAUCCGAAGACCACUUCAAGUGUAAUUGAGCCUGUACAGUUGGCCUCUACACCUGGUAUGACGCCUUUAAAGGUCGUUCUUGUGGGUUUAAUCCUUGAGGGGUCUAUGGUCAUUUUGCGCACUGUGUCCUGGUAAAGGAGGUUCAAGCUGUUGCCGCAGUCCAUCAGGACUCUAGUGAGGUGAAAUCCGUCAAUGAUUGGGUCAAGAACCAAUGCGGCGAAUCCGCCGUGGCGGAUGCUAGUGGGGUGGUCGCUUCGAUCAAAAGUGAUCGGGCAGGAGGACCACGGGUUGAACUUUGGGGCGACUGGCUCCAUCGCGUAUACGUCCCUUAGUGCACGCUUCCGCUUCCUUUUGGGUAUGUGGGUUGCGUAUAUCAUGUUCACUAUCCGCACUUGUGGGGGAAAGCCCUUCUGUCCUCUAUUGUUCGGCGGCCGGGGCUCCUCCUCGUCAUCGCUAUGCAGCCCCUUGUCAUUGUGUUCGGCACUUAACUUGCCUGCUUGCUUGAAUACCCAACAAUCCCUGUAGGUGUGGUUAGCUGGUUUUUCGGGGGUGCCAUGUAUCUGGCACAAGCGAUCGAGUAUGCGGUCCAAAUUGGACGGCCCCUGAGUAUUUCUUUUGAACGGCUUUUUCCGCUGACCGGGUUUGGAGCCUCUGAAUCCGGCAUUGACUGUCGUAUCUUCAGUAUUAUCGCCGUUAAUGCUGCGCUUGUGCUUGUUGCGACGCGACCUGCCAUUGCUGUCCUUGGUAUCCGAACUACCAGGGUUUUUGGUUAGGUUGUUACUGGGAGCUAGCCAGCUGUCCUAUCUCGUGCAAAAGCGGGUCAUGAGUGAUGUGAGGGCUGCCAUGGAUUUCGGCUUUUCCUGUCCUAGGUGCCGGGCAAGCCACUCGUCACAGAUGUUAUGUUUGAAGGCUGCAAGGGCCUCUGGAUCCGGACGGUCAAUGAUUUGAUUUUUCUUGGUUAAGAACCGUGUCCAGAAUUGUCUGGCCGAUUCAUCUGGCUGCUGAAUUAUGUGGCUUAGGUCAUCAGCGUCCGGUGGUCGCAUAUAUGUGCCCUGGAAGUUAUCAAGGAAUGCGGCUUCCAAGUCUUCCCAACAACCAAUUGAUUCUGCUGGCAAGCUGUUGAGCCAAUGCCGAGUUGGUCCUAUAAGCUUGAGUGGGAGGUAUUUGAUGGCGUGUAGAUCAUCACCGCGGGCCAUGUGGAUAUGAAGGAGAUAGUCCUCGAUCCAAACCGCAGGGUCUGUUGUGCCAUCGUAUGAUUCAAUGUUUACGGGUUUGAAACCCUCGGGGAUUUGAUGAUCCAUUACUUUGUCUGUGAAGCAUAAUGGGUACGCGGCGCCUCUAUAUUGGGCUAUGUCAUGACGCAGCUCAAAUGAGCUGUGUCUACUGUGUUCGGCCUGGCCGGAAUUGCUGUAUCUGGCGUGACGGUUGUCAUCACGUAUCGUGGGGUGCCCACGCGAUCCGUAGAUCGAUCUUAUUUUCCUUGCCUUGUCCUCCAAUAUAUCUCGCAAGUCCGACACAUUUCCCCGCGGCUUUGUACUUUUCGAGUGAAGCCGAGGUGCGGCUUUAGUGGAGGGACUAAAGGCCUCUCUGUCGCGGCCGCGAGGUGGCCGGUCGGCCGCGUCAUGCGCUGGUGAUGUAGGUUUGGGUGCUUCCUCCUCUAAUUGGGGCAGCAGCCUGCAUUUUGGGUAGCUCUUGGAGGGGCGAUCGAGUUUAUACUCUUCGGCUGCGAGGACUUCGGUCCAUCUGUCAGCUAGCAAGUCUUGGUCAGCUCUAAGCUACUGCUGCUUUUUCUUGAGGCUGCUUGCCGUGGCCAUAAGCCUGCGUUUGAAACGCUCUUGUUCGACGGGAUCCUCGGGCAAAACAAAUUCGUCGUUGUCGAGGCUUGCUUCAUCUUCGAAGGGAGGCAUAUAAUUAUCGUCUUCUACCUCUCUGUCUGCUGCUCUAUCAUGAGGGCUGGCUUCUCCCUCCUCCUAUGCUGAAUCCUGCUGGAGGUGGUUGUCUUCGGCACUGUCUGGGGUGUUAUUAUCUCCCGUGCCGGAAUCACCGUUUUUGUUGUGUCGGGAUUUAGAGCAGCGCCGCUGACGCCGACGCUUGGGCUGUUUCUUGGAGGGGUCAUCCUCUGCUGUUCCAUUGCCAUUCCCAUCUUUUGGGGUGUCCACCAUGUAUAUGUCGUAUGAUGAGGUGGCCUUCCAGUGCCCUGUAGGCGCUGGUUCUUGGAUGUCUCCUGCAUCAUCGUCCAUACCGUCGAUGUCUUCGGAGUCGAAGUCGAGCAUGUCGGUUAAAUCAUCGACAGUGGGUACAAAGUGGGUGGUGGGUGGGCGUUGAAUUUCUUUGUCAUCCGCAUCCCAACCUUCCUGGCCACAGUCCAGCCAGGGCUCUCCUGAUAAGGUGAGAGACUUUAGUAAAUUCAGGAUGUCACCAAAGGGCGAGUGCUGAAAGAUGUCCGCGGCAGUGAACUCCAUAACCGGCGCCCAAUCGGAUUUGACUAGCAGGGGUGCGGGAGGUUCGGAGUCCGGAGAGGAGUCCGACACCUCGGAGUCACGGGCUUUGCAAAGGACAGGGAUGGUGUUUGGCUCAAUCGCCGUAGAGAUCGUAGCCCCCGAGGCGGUGUCCAACCACUCGUCCUCGAUCGGCGAAAUCUGCUCCGAGCUAAAGGUCGGAGCGGAUGCUAGUGCGGCCUCAAGGGUACUGUUCGGCGGCAGAGCUAGAUCAUACCCAUCGAGACAGUGCGGCGCGCUUGGCUGUGGCUCGAAUCCAUCGAAGAUCAAGUCUCCGCGGAUGUCAGCCGUGUAGUUCAAACUCCCGAAUCUGACCUGAUGGCCAGGGGUGUAGCUUUCGAUCUGCUCCAGAUGGCCAAGUGAAUUGGCCCGCAGUGCGAAGCCACCGAAUACGAAGAUCUGUCCGGCGAGAAAAGUCUCGCCCUGGACCGCGUCGUUGUUGAUGAUCGAAGGAUCCAUCGGGCCUAAAGGUGACGACAUAGAGGAACUCUCAAUGAAAGCACCAAUGUCAGUGUCAAAACCGGCGGAUCUCGGGUAGGGGUUCCCGAACUGUGCGUCUAGGCAGAUGGUAACAGGAGACAAGGGACACGAUGUUUUUACCCAGGUUCGGGCCCUCUCGAUGGAGGUAAAACCCUACUCCUGCUUGAUUAAUAUUGAUGAUAUGGGUAGUACAAGAGUAGAUCUACCACGAGAUCAGAGAGGCUAAACCCUAGAAGCUAGCCUAUGGUAUGAUUGUUGUUCGUCCUACGGACGAAAACCCUCCGGUUUAUAUAGAAACCGGAGAGGGUUAGGGUUACACAGAGUCGGUUACAAUGGUAGGAGAUCUACAUAUCCGUAUCGCCAAGCCUGCCCUCCACGCCAAGGAAAGUCCCAUCCGGACACGGGACGAAGUCUUCAAUCUUGUAUCUUCAUAGUCUAGGAGUCCGGCCAACGGUGAUAGUUCAGCCAUCCGGACACCGCCUAAUCCAGGACUCCCUCAACUGCCUUAAGAAGGCUAGCACAAAAGCAACAACGAUCGAAGAGGCAAGGCCUCCUGCCUGGGACUGAUACGUCUCCAUGCUACUUUAUCUACUGUUUUGGACUAUAUUGGGCUUUAGUUUCCACUUUUAUAUUAUUUUUGGGACUAACCUAUUAACCGAACAUGAUCCAGGAGAGUUGGACCCUGCUCCAAGGAACAAAAGAGACGGUCACGAGGGUGGUGGUGCCCCCCUACCUCGUGGCCCCCCUGCUGCUCCACCGACGUACUCCUUCCUCCUAUAUAUGCCUACGUAUCCCCGACAGAUCAGAAGAGGAGCCAAAAACCUAAUUCCACCGCCGCAACUUUCUGUAUCCAUGAGAUCCCAUCUUGGGGCCUGUUCUGGAGCUCCGCCGGAGGGGGCAUCUACCAUGGAGGGUUUCUACAUCAACACCAUAGCCCCUCCGAUGAAGUGUGAGUACUUUACUUUAGACCUUCGGGUCCGUAGCUAGUAGCUAGAUGGCUUCUUCUCUCUUUUUGGAUCUCAAUACAAUGUUCUCCCCCUCUAUUGUGGAGAACUAUUUGAUGUAAUCUUCUUUUUGCGGUGUGUUUGUUGAGACCGAUGAAUUGUGGGUUUAUGAUUCAGAUUAUCUAUGGAAAAUAUUUGAUUCUUCUCUGAAUUCUUUUAUGUAUGAUUGAGUUAUCUUUGCAAGUCUCUUCGAAUUAUCCGUUUGGUUUGGCCAACUAGAUUGGUAGUUCUUGCAAUGGGAGAAGUGCUUAGCUUUGGGUUCGAUCUUGCGGUGUCCUUACCCAGUGACAGAAAGGGUUGCAAGGCACGUAUUGUAUUGUUGCCAUCGAGGAUAACAAGGUGGGGUUUUUAUCAUAUUGCAUGAAUUUAUCCCUCUACAUCAUGUCAUCUUGCUUAAGGCGUUACUCUGUUUUUAACUUAAUACUCUAGAUGCAUGCUAGAUAGCGGUCGAUGAGUGGAGUAAUAGUAGUAGAUGUAGAAUCGUUUCGAUCUACUUGUCUUGGACAUGAUGCCUAUAUACAUGAUCAUUGCCUAGAUAUGCUCAUAACUAUGCUCAAUUCUGUCAAUUGCUCAACAGUAAUGUGUUCACCCACUGUAGAAUACUUAUGCUCUUGAGAGAAGCCACUAGUGAAACCUAUGGCCCCGGGUCUAUUCUCAUCAUAUCAAUCUCUAUCGCUUUAUUACUUGCUUUGUUUUUACUUUGCCUUUUACUUUUCACUUUGCAUCUAUCUAUCAAAAAUACCAAAAGUAUUAUUUAUCAUCUCUAUCAGAUCUCACCCUCGUAAGUGACCAUGAAGGGAUUGACAACCCCUAAUCGCGUUGGUUGCGAGUAGCUAUCGUUUUGUGUAGGUACGAGGGUCUUGUGCGUGGUCUCCUACUAGAUUGAUACCUUGGUUCUCAAAAAUUGAGGGAAAUACUUACGCUACUUUACUGCAUCAUCCUCUCCUCUUCGGGGAAAUCCAAUGCAGUGCUCAAGAGGUAGCAAGAAGAAUUUCUGGCGCCGUUGCCGGGGAGGCUUACACAAGAAAGUCAACAAUACCAAGUACCCAUCACAAUCCCUAUCUCUCGCAUUACAUUAUUUGCCUCUCGUUUUCCUCUCCCCCACUUCACCCUUGCUGUUUUAUUCGCCCUCUCUUUCCCAAUCUCCUCCUCUCUUUCUCGUUUGCUUUCUUCCGCCUUGCUCCUGUUACUGCUAUGUCUGAAAUUGGGGAGAUUAUCGUCGAUAUGGACAAUAAUGAUAACAUAGAAAAUCUCGAGGCUCCGGCCGAUGAACCUCCUAUAUUGCAUACUAAAAAGUUUCGAAUCGGUAGUGGUAACAUCAUUGGCAAAGGUGUUAUUCAAGACUCUUUUACUUGUGCCGGUGCUUUACCUUCCAUGGGCUGCUCUAUUCUUCACACAACUAGUAGUCUUGCGGAUGCUAUUGCUCUGCUUGUGGUUGAACUUGAAAGACAAUUUAUGCAUAUGCAUCCUUGCAUCCAAAGAAUUUUUCUAGAAUUCUCUAAUAUUGAGCAUUCUUCUGUUAAGCGUGCUGUUACUAUCUUCUUGGCUCACGAGUUUAGAUUUAUCAGAAGAGAAGCCAAAGAAAUCUUUGCACACUAUAGGGUGGACACUGGUUGUCCUCCCAUAGAGGCAACCCUCUAUGAUCAAGAGGAAUUUAGGCAUUUUCAAUCUUCGGACUACGUUGCUUUUAGUGAAAACUUUAGAAAAAAGGUUCCUAUCAAUGUCUUGGUUGAUUGCAUCAAUGAACUCAAUAAUGAUAUUGCUCUUUGAAACAAUGAGCUAGGCUACUCUCUUGAGUAUAGGCUCACAAAAUUUUGCCAGAAGAAUGCUUUUAGUGACAAAAUAGUUGUGCACUAUGAAGGGCCAAGGGAGGAACCCGUUCCUCCUAUGAUUGAUCUUGGGGACAUCUGUCCCACUAAAUUUAGCCCUUUUGAUUACUUUUGCUUGCCUCAAAGAAAACUUGCUGCCGAACGUAGAGAAUAUGAGAUGAGUUUUCAAGAUCUAUCUUAUUAUUAUGGCACGCAUUAGAUCUAUCCUUGCUUUUAUGCCUAGCUAGGGGCGUUAAACGAUAGCGCUUGUUGGGAGGCAACCCAAUUUUAUUUUGUGUUUUGUGUUUCUGUUUCUGUUUAGGAAUAAAUAAUCCAUCUAGCCUCUGUUUAUAUGUGGUUUUGUCUUUUAAUUAGUGUUUGUGCCAAGUAGAACCUAUAGGAUAACCUACGAUGAUAGUAGAUUUGAUUCUGCUGAAAAACAGAAACUUUACGUGCACGAAUAUAAUUUUGUUAAAUCACAGGAAUGUGAUUUUGCGUUGAUUAUUUUUUCUGCUGUUCAAUAAGAAAAUUUUCCAGGACUUCCUAUUUUGUUAGAAUUUUUAGAGUUCCAGAAGUUUGCGUUAGUUACAGAUUGCUACAGACUGUUCUGUUUUUGACAGAUUCUGUUUUACGUGUGUUGUUUGCUUAUUUUGAUGAAUCUAUGGCUAGUAAAAUAGUUUAUAAUCCAUAGAGGAGUUGGAAUACAGUAGGUUUAACACCAAUAUAAAUAAAGAAUGAGUUUAUUACAGUACCUUGAAGUAGUCUUUUGUUUUCUUUCUCUAACGGAGCUCACGAGAUUUCUGUUGAGUUUUGUGUUGUGAAGUUUUCAAGUUUUGGGUGAAUUCUUUUGAUGGAUUAUGGAACAAGUAGUGGCGAGAGCCUAAGCUUGGGGAUGCCCAUGGCACCCCCAAGAUAAUCCAAGGACACCAAAAAGUCAAAGCUUGGGGAUGCCCCGGAAGGCAUCCCCUCUUUCGUCCACUUCCAUCGGUAAUUUACAUGGAGCUAUAUUUUUAUUCACCACAUGUUAUGUGUUUUGCUUGGAGCAUCUUGUAUUAUUUGUGUCUUUGCUUGUUAGUUUACCACAAUCAUUCUUGCUGUACACACCUUUUGAGAGAGCCAUACAUGAUUUGGAAUUUGUUAGAAUACUCUAUGUGCUUCACUUAUAUCUUUUGAGCUUGAUAGUUUUGCUCAUAGUGCUUCACUUAUAACUUUUGAGCAUGAUAAUUUUUGCUGUAGUGCUUCACUUAUAUCUUUUAGAGCACGGUGGUGGAUUUUUUUAAAGAAACUAUUGAUCUCUCAUGCUUCACUUAGAUUAUUUUGAGAGUCGUUAAUAGCAUGGUAAUUUGCUUAAUGUUAAUAUACUUCGUAUUCAAGAUAUGUGAAACUUUCUUUUGAGUGCGUUGAAUACUAAGAUAAGUUUGAUGCUUGAUAAUUGUUUUGAGAUAUGGAGGUGAUAAUAUCAAAGUUGUGCUAGUUGAUUAAUUAUGAAUUUGAUAAAUGCUUGUGUUGAAGUUUGCAAGUCCCGUAGCAUGCACGUAUGGUUAAAGUUGUGUAACAAAUUUGAAACAUGAAGUGUACCUGGCUUGUGCAUCCUUAUGAGUGGCGGUCGGGGACGAGCGAUGGUCUUUUCCUACCAAUCUAUCCCCCUAGGAGCAUGCGCGUAGUACUUGAUUUUUGAUGACUUCUAAAUUUUUGCAAUAAGUAUAUGAGUUCUUUUGACUAAUGUUGAGUCCAUGGAUUAUACGCACUUUUACCUUUCCGCCUUUGCUAGCCUCUUCGGUACCGUGCAUUGCCCUUUCUCACCUUGAGAGUUCGUGCAAACUUCGCCGGUGCAUCCAAACCCCGCGAUACGAUACACUCUCUCACACAUAAACCUCCUUAUAUCUUCCUCAAAACAGCCACCAUACCUACCUAUUAUGGCAUUUCCAUAGCCAUUCCGAGAUAUAUUGCCAUGCAACUUCCACCAUCAUCAUCAUGACAUACAUUACUUUUGUCAUAUUUCCAUUGCAUGAUCAUGUAGUUGACAUCGUAUUUGUGCCAAAGCCACCUUGCAUUAUUUUUCAUACAUGUCACUCUUGAUUCGUUGCACCAUCCCGGUACACCGUCGGAGGCAUUCAUAUAGAGUCAUAUCUUGUUCUAAAUUUUGAGUUGUAAUCUUUAUGUUGUAAUCAAUAGAAGUGUGAUGAUCAUCAUUAUUAGAGCAUUGCCCAAAGAAAAAAAAGAAAAAAAAGAAAAGAAAAAAGGCCAAAAAAAAGAAAAAAAGAAAGGCCCAAAAAAAAGAAGAAAAAAAAAGAAAAAAAGAGAAAAGAAAAAGGGCAAUGCUACUAUCUUUUUUUCCACACUUGUGCUUCAAAGUAGCACCUUGUUCUUCAUAUAGUGAGUCUCAUAUAUUGUGCUUCAAAGUAGCACCUUGUUAUUCAUGUAGUGAGUCUCAUAAGUUGUCUUUUUACACUAGUGGGAAUUUUUUAUUAUAGAACUUGGCUUGUAUAUUCCUAUGAUGGGCUUCCUCAAAUGCCCUAGGUCUUCGUGAGCAAGCAAGUUGGAUGCACACCCACUACUUUUCUUUUGUUGAGCAUUCAUUUAUAGCUCUAGUGCAUCCGUUGCAUGGCAAUCCCUACUCCUCAUGUUGACAUCAAUUGAUGGGCAUCUCCAUAGUCCGUUGAUUAUCCUCGUCAAUGUGAGACUUUCUCCUUUUUUUGUCUUCUCCACACAAUCCCCAUCAUCAUAUUCUAUGCCACCCAUAGUGCUAUAUCCAUGGCUCACGCUCAUGUAUUGCGUGAAGGUUGAAAAAGUUUGAGAUUAUUUAUGUAUGAAACAAUUGCUUGGCUUUUCAUUGGGGGUAUAGAAGUUGGGACAUCUUUAUGUGACGAAAAUGAAGCAUAGCCUAACUAUAUGAUUUUGUAGGGAUGGACUUUGUUUUGCCAUGUUAUUUUGAGAAGACAUGAUUGCUUUGAUUAGUAUGCUUGAAGCAUUAUUAUUUUUGUGUCAAUAUGAACUUUUGUCUUGAAUCUUUCGGAUCUGAAUAUUCAUAUCACAAUUAAGAAGAUUUACAUUGAAAUUAUGCCAAAGUAUCACUCCGCAUCAAAAAUUAUCUUUUUAUCAUUUACCUACUCGAGGACGAGCAUGAAUUAAGCUUGGGGAUGCUUGAUACGUCUCCAACGUAUCUAUAAUUUUUGAUUGCUCCAUGCUACUUUAUCUAUUGUUUUGGACUAUAUUGGGCUUUAUUUUCCACUUUUAUAUUAUUUUUCGGACUAACCUAUUAACCGGAGGCCCAGCCGAGAAUUGCUGUUUUUUGCCUAUUUCAGUAUUUCGAAGAAACGGAAUAUCAAAUAGAGUCCAAAAGGAAUGGAACCUUUGGGAAUGUGAUUUUCUCACCGAACGUGAUCCAUGAGACUUGGACCCUGCUCCAAGGAACAAAAGAGACGGUCACGAGGGUGGAGGGCGCCCCCCUAGGCGCGCCCCCUACCUCGUGGGCCCCCUGCUGCUCCACCGACGUACUCCUUCCUCCUAUAUAUGCCUACUUAUCCCCGACAGAUCAGAAGAGGUGCCAAAAACCUAAUUCCACCACUGCAACUUUCUGUAUCCAUGAGAUCCCAUCUUGGGCCCUGUUCCGGAGCUCCGACGGAGGGGCAUCUACCACGGAGGGCUUCUACAUCAACACCAUAGCCCCUCCAAUGAAGUGUGAGUAGUUUACUUCAGACCUUCGGGUCCAUAGCUAGUAGCUAGAUGGCUUCUUCUCUCUUUUUGGAUCUCAAUACAAUGUUCUCCCCCUCUCUUGUGGAGAACUAUUUUAUGUAAUCUUCUUUUUGCGGUGUGUUUGUUGAGAUCAAUGAAUUGUGGGUUUAUGAUUCAGAUUAUCUAUGGAAAAUAUUUGAUUCUUCUCUGAAUUCUUUUAUGUAUGAUUGAGUUAUCUUUGCAAGUCUCUUCGAAUUAUCCGUUUGGUUUGGCCAACUAGAUUGGUAGUUCUUGCAAUGGGAGAAGUGCUUAGCAUUGGGUUCGAUCUUGCGGUGUCCUUACCAGUGACAGAAAGGGUUGCAAGGCACGUAUUGUAUUGUUGCCAUCGAGGAUAACAAGAUGGUUUUUUUAUCAUAUUGCAUGAAUUUAUCCCUCUACAUCAUGUCAUCUUGCUUAAGGCGUUACUCUGUUUUUAACUUAAUACUCUAGAUGCAUGAUGGAUAGCGGUCGAUGAGUGGAUUAAUAGUAGUAGAUGCAGAAUUGUUUCGAUCUACUUGUCUUGGACAUGAUGCCUAUAUACAUGAUCAUUGCCUAGAUAUGCUCAUAACUAUGCUCAAUUCUGUCAAUUGCUCAACAGUAAUUUGUUCACCCACCGUAGAAUACUUAUGCUCUUGAGAGAAGCCACUAGUGAAACCUAUGGCCCCGGGUCUAUUCUCAUCAUAUCAAUCUCUAUUGCUUUAUUAGUUGCUUUGUUUUUACUUUGCCUUUUACUUUUCACUUUGCAUCUCUCUAUCAAAAAUACCAAAAAUAUUAUUUAUCAUCUCUAUCAGAUCUCACCCUUGUAAGUGACCUUGAAGGGAUUGACAACCCCUAAUCACGUUGGUUGCGAGUAGCUAUCGUUUUGUGUAGGUACGAGGGACUUGUGCGUGGUCUCCUACUGGAUUGUUACCUUGGUUCUAAAAAACUGAGGGAAAUACUUACGCUACUUUACUGCAUCAUCCUCUCCUCUUCGGGGAAAUCCAACGCAGUGCUCAAGAGGUAGCAGGGACCUCCUAACUACUCCUGGUCGUCGGCGGUCUCCAUGUAGUAGCAUCCAUCGGCGGUGGCAUCUGGCUCUAGGGAUCCAUCAUUUGGUUGCAUCAACCGAAAAGAAGAAAGAAGGGGAAAAGGGGGAGCAAAGCAACCGUGAGUACUCAUCCAAAGUACUAGCAAGCAUUAGAUCUAUACUAAGUAUGCAUUGGUAUCAAAUGGAAGGUUUGCAUCUAUGGACUGAACUUUAGAAUGCUAGGAUAGAGGGGAAAGGCCUAGCCUAUCAAAGACUAGCAUCUUCAAGCAGCUCCAAGCAUCUUGCAGCAUGUAGAAGAGUAAAGAAUAGCAGUUUAAUAUUUAACAAACAUGUUGUAGAACCAACGCCCAUAGAUCCUUCGUUGACUCCCUGCGAGAAAGCAAUCUCGGAGCCACAUAUCCAUCACAUAUCCCAAGUAUCCAUUUCUAGUUAUAUAAGAUCAGGAUACAAGUCUGAACAUACAUUACCGCAGACACGGUAUUCAAAUAUAUAUCUUCCUUGUAGGGGUGCACCACGUUACCCAACACGCUCGAUCACUCUGGCUGGACACACCUUUCUGGGGUCAAUGCCCGCCCUCGGAAGAUCAACACGUCGCAGCCUUACCAAGGCUCAGCAGAGAGGUUCCCGCCGGUCUACAUCCUAAGCACUCCGGGGUCUUGGGCCCAUUGCCCGUAGCACUCCGGGUCAUUGUGUGCAGGGUGGAUACCAGCACCGCCUCGGAUGGCCAGCAUGAUCCGACCAUGCCACAGUGUUGAACUGGACGUCUGACAAAGCUUCGGCUGAUACUGCGAUGUCGAGGCCCAUAUCUAUUCUCGCGUGGUGGUUAGUGCGUAAAGGCCAUAGGCCAACUCAGAAAAAUACCCAAAUCUAUUAGUGCAUUGGGCGCGCGCAGAAACGAGCAGAGACUAACGAUAAGGUGACCCCGUCGCUUCGUCUCAUGGACUUAUGGCAAGGGCCCAGACUGCCCGGCCGUGCCAUGUGGAAAACUCGCGGGUGCUCUACGGGCCCGCCCGACUUUCACAUCAACUCGCGGGUACCCCUCAGGGCCGACCCGACUUCAUCAAAGGUCUCAAGUAAGUCAAGGUAACCAUGUGUCCAAACAUCAAGGGGGAAACCCGAGGAAUCACCCACGGAGGAUUCCACUUGAUGUAAUCAUCAAGGUGAAUGUAAGAGGAUCCACCCUCGAGGUUCACACUUGAGGUGUUGCAUGACAGAGCCGUAUCGGAAAUGGUGAAUGAGGAACCACCCUCGUUGACCACGACCGAAUAGCUACACUACAGAAUUAUCAUCAGGAGUGCGUUAUGAGGGAUCACCCUCGGCACUCGGUAGUAGCUCCGCAGUGUCGAGCAACUAAAGGGGCAUAAUGUGAUGUGAGGUGUUAGGCUCUGGUCAUCGAUCACGUUGAUCGAGUCAUCGGAGAUGAAGCAGGGGCAACAAGGAAAAUGUGGGGGUCACUGAUGGAUCACUAACCAACCUAUACUAAGCAGUUUAGGAUAAGCAGGUAAGGUACAAUGAGCAGGUUACAAAAGCAGGCUAUGCAUCAGAAUAGGAGUAAACAAUAACAAUAGCAAAAUCUAAUGCAAGCAUGAGAGAAUGGAAUGGGCGAUAUCGGGAUGAUCAAAGGGGGGCUUGUCUGGUUGCUCAGACAAGAAGGAGGGUCGUCGUCGACGUAGUCGAUCACAGGGGCAUCAGCAGCGGUCUCGAGGUCUACCGGAGAAGAAGAGGGGGAAGAAACAGUAAAUACAUGCGAACAUAUGCAUAACAUGACAAUAAGCGAUGCUAGAGGUGUUCUAAGGCAGUGUUACACGAUACCGGUAAAGGGGAACAACAUCCGGGAAAGUUUUCCCGGUUCCGUUCGUCUGUCAAACAGAUGAACCGGAGGGGUAAGGUUGCAUGUUUGAUAUGCUAGGAACGUGUGGCGGAUGAACGGACUGCAUGUUCGGAUUCGUCUCGUCUUUCUGAGCAACUUUCAUGUAUAAAACUUUUUCAUCCGAGUUACAGAUUAUUUUAUAUGAAUUUUCAAAGUUUUAACAAUAUUCUGAAAUUACUAUUAAUUCAAAAAUCAAGACUAAAAUGCUACGGGUACCCAGCUCUACGUACACAGAAUUGUACCAGAGGCUGACAGGUGGGCCAGGGGGUCCUAGUUGACCAGUCAAUCUUUGACUGGCCAACAGGGCGUGGGGUCCCCCUGUCAUAGACUCAUUAGGCUAGUCUAACAGUUUAGUUAACUAAACAAGGUGAUUAAGCUAAUUAAUUCUAAUUAAACUUAAUUAAACCAAUUUAAUUAAGUCAAAUAUUUUUAUUAUAUUUCUUUUUUUUUAUAAAAAACAGGGGAGAGGGCCCCUGCUGCCGGUGGUACAAAAGCCACUAGAGCGGGCGCUAGCGGGCGUUGGUGUCGGUUCUCGGGUGAAGGCCACAGCCCGUCCUGGGCACGGGGCGAGGCCGAGCUGCGCCAGCAGCGGCGGGGGUUGGACGCCGGCCACGACGAGAAGCUCCAGCAGUGGCGGCUCCGCCACGGCGAGCGGGCGCGGUUGGCAACAUCGGGCGGCGAGGGGCAUCAGCGGGAGCGGUGCGGGAAGCCCGGGUGAGCGGCUACCGUGAGGCAGCGCGUAGCGACGGACGGGGCGGACGUUGCAGGAGGAAAGGCGCCGGCGCGGGAGGCUAGUUGGGCACGGCGGCGACGACGGCUUACAGCGUCUAUAAGAAAGGGAACGGAGCGGGGGGGGGGCUCGCAUGGGAACCGUAGGGGAUGGCUGUGGGUUUGUGUACGACUUGCCAGAGCCGGAGUUGACCGGAUUGAGGUCGGCAGUGGCGGAUGACGUCGAGGAAGAAGAGCCCGAGGCGACGGCUUGGGGAGGUCCCCACUCGUGUGCGUCGUCGUGGCGGUCGAGGAAGUCGAGGCGCAGGCCCUGGGCAUCUC
This 21479-nucleotide long non-coding RNA is filed under the name Triticum aestivum (bread wheat). Its description in RNAcentral is "long non-coding RNA (TAES_LNC022892)". The record is from RNAcentral. Lineage: Eukaryota; Viridiplantae; Streptophyta; Magnoliopsida; Poales; Poaceae.